Molecule: ribosomal RNA, 295 nt
Filed under: uncultured soil bacterium
Lineage: Bacteria
Description: partial 16S ribosomal RNA
Rfam family: Bacterial small subunit ribosomal RNA
Source: RNAcentral
AGAACGAACGCUGGCGGCAGGCUUAACACAUGCAAGUCGAACGCAUCCUUCGGGGUGAGUGGCAGACGGGUGAGUAACGCGUGGGAACAUGCCCUUCAGUUCGGAAUAACCCAGGGAAACUUGGGCUAAUACCGGAUACGUGCGAGAGCAGAAAGAUUUAUCGCUGAAGGAGUGGCCCGCGUCUGAUUAGCUAGUUGGUGAGGUAAAGGCUCACCAAGGCGACGAUCAGUAGCUGGUCUGAGAGGAUGAUCAGCCACACUGGGACUGAGACACGGCCCAGACUCCGUACGGAGGC